RNAcentral lists this long non-coding RNA (268 nucleotides) under Elaeis guineensis (African oil palm). RNAcentral's name for it is "long non-coding RNA (EGUI_LNC041401)". Lineage: Eukaryota; Viridiplantae; Streptophyta; Magnoliopsida; Arecales; Arecaceae. The record is from RNAcentral.
GGCUAAGUUUCGGACUUGAACCCAAGCCGAGCCAAAGGUCCGCCAAAGUCCGAUCCAAAUACAAAACGGGCCUUAUUUUUUGGUUCGAGUCCGGUUUGAAUAGUUUCGUGCCAAGCUCGAAGCCCGAUCCGAAAUAGGUCCGGCCCAAUGGGAGCCCACUUCCAGCCCUAGAAGUAGCCUCCCAACCUGUGUUCGAGGAUAGAUAGGUUAAGCAACCACUUGGUGAAUUGGGCCUAAAGUUUUAAACAACUUGUAUUCAAGUCUAGCC